This 504-nucleotide ribosomal RNA is filed under the name uncultured bacterium. Its description in RNAcentral is "partial 16S ribosomal RNA". It matches the Rfam family "Bacterial small subunit ribosomal RNA", at positions 28 to 507 of the family's 1533-position model. The record is from RNAcentral.
GACGAACGCUGGCGGCGUGCCUAAUACAUGCAAGUAGAACGCACAGUUUAUACCGUAGCUUGCUACACCAUAGACUGUGAGUUGCGAACGGGUGAGUAACGCGUAGGUAACCUGCCUGGUAGCGGGGGAUAACUAUUGGAAACGAUAGCUAAUACCGCAUAAUAUUAAUUAUUGCAUGAUAAUUGAUGAAAGAUGCAACUGCAUCACUACCAGAUGGACCUGCGUUGUAUUAGCUAGUAGGUGAGGUAACGGCUCACCUAGGCGACGAUACAUAGCCGACCUGAGAGGGUGAUCGGCCACACUGGGACUGAGACACGGCCCAGACUCCUACGGGAGGCAGCAGUAGGGAAUCUUCGGCAAUGGACGAAAGUCUGACCGAGCAACGCCGCGUGAGUGAAGAAGGUUUUCGGAUCGUAAAGCUCUGUUGUAAGAGAAGAACGGGUGUGAGAGUGGAAAGUUCACACUGUGACGGUAUCUUACCAGAAAGGGACGGCUAACUACGUG